Homo sapiens (human) is the source of this 3497-nucleotide long non-coding RNA. Ensembl annotates it as MSANTD2 antisense RNA 1. Its record names the gene MSANTD2-AS1. NCBI's taxonomy places the organism in Eukaryota, Metazoa, Chordata, Mammalia, Primates, Hominidae. The record is from Ensembl.
GCCCUCGGGCCUGGCUCGCCCGCGGGCGGAUGGCUCCGGGUCUCUGCUGCUGAGGAUGUGGCUGCCGGGCGGAGGUCGUCCACUCCCCUGGGCCUUUCUCCGCGAGCCCUCCCACGCCGCCCGCUCCUCUCCCGGGGCGAAGGGCGGGGACGAGGCGCGCCGAAGCCCCGAGCUGAAGAGAAGGGUGGGGGCAUGAGGGCGCUGGAGUGAGGAACAGAUUGGAGCCUUCCCACUUCCUCUCCAAUCUCAGCCCCCGGGAGGAGGGGUGAGGCCCUCGAGGGGGCCCGGAGUUAAGGAGGAAUAGACCGUUUCUCUCUCUCCUGUCUCCCCCGCCUCUGCCCGUCUUCCCUCUAAGCCGGCCUCUAGGUGCAGAGGCUGACGUCCAGGAUGGGGACCGGGGAAGCCUCUGGAGGGUAUAUCCGGGAAGGCACCAAGGCUGAAGUGAGAGCGGUUCUGGGGAAGGCUUUAAAAAGCAGAUAUGGACCAGGAUGCAGUCUAGCACCUCAGUUAAGAAUAUGGACUCUAAAGUCAGACUGCCAGGCUUCAAAUUCCAGUUCUGCGACCUCAGCAAAGUUACUUAACCAAGCUCUCAGUGCCUUGUUUUCUUCAUCUGUAAAAUGAGGAUGACGUCACAGCAUUGUUGAGAGAAUUAAUACAGGCUCCAGACUUGUGAAUGGAGAAGUGUUGAGGUGACCCCAGCUCCAGCCACCAGCUGACGACAACCAUACCGGAGAUCCUGAGAGCUGCCUAGCUGACCCCAGGCACCCCCCAGACUUCAUGUAAGCUGUUUGAAGCCGAGGACUUUGUCUGUUUUGUUCACUCCCAAUAGAUUCAGCACUUAGAAGAAUGCCAGGCAGGCUUUCCCCACCAACCAAGAUGGAAUAACAGGGAAAAGACAUACCCUUCUAUCUUCAAUAAUUGGAAACCCAGACAAAGUUUAUGAAACGCUGGUUUUCAAGACAUAGGACAUCAGACAAUCAAGGACAGUAAACACUGAGAUGGGAAACAAACAAGGAAGCCAUGAAAACUUCAAAACUGCUUCACCACCUGGAGACCAAGCACCCUGCAUUAAAAGACAAGCCUUUGGAGUUUUUCUAAAGAAAAAACAUGAACACAGAGAACAGAAGUAAUUAUUGAAGGCCACUACUUCAUUAAGUGUGUCUGUACUGAGAGCAUCGUUCCUAGUGGCUAACCACGUUAUUAGGCUAAGAAGCCCUUUAGUAUUGGUGAAGAGUUGAUCCUGCCUGCUGCUAAGGACAUUUGUCAUGAACUUUUAGGAGAGGCUGCUGUUCAAAAGGUGGCACAUGUUCCUCUUUCAGCUAACACCAUAACUAGAAGAAUGGAUGAAAUAGCAGAGAAUAUUGAGGCACAAUUGUUAGAGAGGAUUAAUGAGUCACCGUGCUACACAAUCCACAAAAGGGUUUUGUCCCAGAAAUAGACUCAUACAUAUAUGAUCAGUGAUUUUCAACAGUGGUACAAAUGCAAGUCAGCGCAGAAAAAAUAAUCUCUUCAACAAAUGGUGCAGGAACAAUUGGAUAUCCAUAAAAUGAACUCGGAUCCACGCUUUGCACCAUAUGCAAAAAUUGACUCAAAAUAGGUAUAGGUCCUAGACCUAAAUGUAACAACCUGAAACUCUAAAAUUUCUCAGGAAAAAAAUGGGAUAAAAUCUUUGUGGUCUUGGAUUAGGCAAAGAUAUUUUCUUGUGUUUGUGGGUAAAGAAACCUUUAAUGAGGGUUCAAGGUGUAAGAGGAGGACCUUGUAGAGAGCCAGCGCUUAGCCCCAGCCUCCUCAUAUGCACAUGGCUCUGUAGAGGUUCUCCAGACAGUGCUGCUGCUGCUGUUUCGAGCCUUAUCUCCUCUGUGCUCCUCACAAGUGUCGUUAACAGCGGGCAGCUCCUGGCAGCACAAGGGACAGGGAUUUGUCUUGCUUAGCCGGGGCAAAAUGCAGUUAGAAUGGAAAAGCUAAUGGCAAGGCAUCCCAACAACAGCCUCCUCCUCCUCAAGCACAUGGGGCACUUGUGUGUGCCUCUCAGCCUGAGAGCUCCUGAUGACUGUCCUGGGGAGGUUCCCAACCACACUGUCUUGGCAGCUGGUGGAGGCAGGUGGUGAUUCCAAUUUACUGCCAUCCCCGAGUCUUCAAAAUCCAUCCUAUUGAAAAGUGAUCUGGUGAGCUCCAGCAGCAUGUGGGUUAGGGUCUCCUGCUUGGGGUUCAAGAGCUUGCAGUCCUGUUCAUUGAAAUAGGCUGUCAUGGCUGCUCAGCUCUCUGACAUAUCUCUCAGACUGGCAAAGAUAUUAGGUCUGAUACCAAAAGUACAAUCCAUAGAAGAAAAAGGAUGGAUACAUUGGACUUCAUUAAAAUUAAGAAUGUUUUCUCCUUGAAAAAUAAUGUUAAGAGAAUAAGAAGAUAAGCCACAAACUUGGAAAAAAAGUAAUUGUAAAUUACAUAUCUGAUAAAGUACUUGUACCCAAAAUAUGCACAAGAAUCUCAAAACUCAAUAAUAAGAAAACAAUCCAAUUUAAGAAAUUAUUUUAACAUACAUUUUACAAAAGAGGAUAUAUAGAUAGCAAAUAAGCCCACAAAAAGAUAUUGAAUAUUAUUGACCAUUGGGAAAAUGCAAAUUAAAACAAAAUGAGAUACCAUUACACACCUAUUAGAAUGUCUAAUAUUGAGAAGACUAAUCAUACUAACUGAUGAGGAUUUGGAGCAACUGGAACUCUCAAACCCUGCUGAUAGAUAAAUGCACAACCACUUUGGAACAGUUUGGUAGUUUUUUAAAAAGUUAAACAUACAUCUGCCUUAUGCCCCAGCCAUACAAUUUUUAGACAUUUCUCAAGGAAAAUGAAAGCAUAUGUUCAUUCAGAGAUACACAUGCAUAUUCAUUGCAGCUUUAUUUGUAACAGCCAAAAACUGGAAACAGCCCAAAUGUCCAGCAACAAAAGAAUGGAUAAACAAAUUGUGGUAUAUUUACUACCUAGCAGUUGAAAGAAAUAAACCUCUGACACACACAAGCUGGAUUAAAAAAGAAGAGGAAAUGAAUUAUUGAUACAUAUAAUAAAGAUUACUCUCAAAAUAAUUAUGGUAAGUCAAAGAAGUCAGACCAUGCUCCCUAAGAGUAUAUACUUCAUGAUUCAAUUUCUGUACAAUUCUAUAAAAUGCAAAUUAAUAUAUGAUAACAAAAAGUGAUUGCCUGGAAAUGGUGAGAGGACAGAGGGGCCAGAAUCAGCCAGGAUUACAAAGAUGCACAAGGAAACUUUUGAGGGUGGUGGAUAUCUUGAGUGUGGUGAUAGUUUUACAGUUGUAUGCCUAUGUUAGAAGCUAUCAAAUUGUACACUUUAAGUAUGUACACUUUGUUGUAUAUUAAUUAUGCCUUAAUAAAGUUAUUAUAAAAAGUAGUUCCAGGCAAUACUAGACACUCAAUAAACAUUUGUAAACUAGUCGUUGACUUUCUUGGACUGUGACUUGUUAGCAGUUAGGGAUUGAUUAUUCUGUACAUGUUU